RNAcentral lists this long non-coding RNA (5637 nucleotides) under Sus scrofa (pig). RNAcentral describes it as "lncRNA (ENSSSCG00030062084.1)". Lineage: Eukaryota; Metazoa; Chordata; Mammalia; Artiodactyla; Suidae. The record is from RNAcentral.
GGCUAGGGGUCCAAUCAGAGCUACGGCUGCCACAGCCACAGCAACACAGGAUCUGAGCCGCGUCUGCAACCUACACCACAGCUCACGGCAACGCACAGCCUCACUGAGUGAGGCCAGGGAUCGAACCCAAGACCUCAUGGUUCCCAGUCGGAUUUGUUUCCGCUGAGCCGCCACGGGAACUGCCAGAGACAAAGCUUUUCUCAACACGGCCCAAGAUCACAUUCGCUUUGUGGUGACCCCUGCUGACUCAUGCAAAGCUUGCCAACAACUGAAACGCCUUUGUUUUGCAAGUGAUCCUGCUAAGCCAGGUCGCGUCAAACCCUUGGCGCUGACCAGCGUGCGCGUGACAAUACAUAAUUUUUGACUAAUAAUUAUACGUCAAGCCUCGUGCUAGGUACUUUACAUACUGUGAUAAACUUUUUUUUGGCUGCAUUCGUGGCAUGCAGAAGUUCUUGGGCCAGGGAUCGAACCCGAGCCCCAGUAGCAACUCAAGCCACAACAGGAACAACACCGACUCUUUAACUGCUAGGCCCCCGAGGAGCUCCCCGAGAUAAAUUUUUUUAAUGCUACGGGAAUUUAUUGGCUCAUGUAACUUAAGUGUCUGGGAAUUGGAAGGUUUCAGGCACAGUUUGAUCAGGCUUCAUGAACUAAACAUUUGGUGUGCUUCAUUCAAGCUUUAUAGCAACCACUUAAAACAGGCUUUAUUAGCCUCACUUUAUCACUGAAGAGGUUGAGACUUUUCGAAGGGACAUCCCGUUCCCAAGGUCAUCAGCCAGUAGGUGGCAGGACCGGGAGGAGCUGAUUCCAGGAUCCACACUGUCCUGCUUUCCAGUGUGUAGAGAAGAGGAAGCAAGAUUCAGAGGUUAAAUAACUUGCCCAAGGCCAUACGGGUUGUGUAAGUGACGGAUAGUGGGCAUCGGGGCUCAGGCCUGCCUGGCUCCAAAGCCGGGCUUGUCUCUCUGUGUUCUUGGGAGAGGAGUCGUGGGUCUGAGUAAGUCUGGGGCAAGUCCCCGCAGACCAUGUGUGAUGACCCACAGGUCAGGGCCUUUUAAAUCCACAGAGCACCAAUCCAACGUACAGUGGUCAACCCUGUCAUCUUUGCCAAGUCUAAUUCGGGCGACGGAAAGACCAGCUUCAUUGGACUGAUUCGGUUACACGAAACAGAAGCCCAUUCCAGCCAGUCGAAGCAAGAAGCGUAACUCAAUACGAGGCGUCAGGACUGUCUCCUGGGUCUCAAGGACAGGCCAGCCGCGUAAGGACAUCCCUCCCGGGGCGGAGGCCCUCCCGGAGCGCCUGGCUUUCCCCACCCCGCCUCUGUGCUUCGCUCAGAACCCUGGCUUCCUCCCUCUCUCUCAGCCCUUUGUCCCAAGCAGGUCUCCUUGGCACAUCUGUUACCUGACCUGAGCUCCCAGGCAGGUCUCCUCGGCACAUCUGUUACCUGACCUGAGCCGAACUCAACGGACGAGGCUCCCCUUCUCCUAAUUCCAAAGUUCAGGGAGUUCCCACUGUGGCUCAGUGGUAACGAAGCCAACUAGUAUGGGUGAGGACGCGGGUUCCAUCCCUGGCCUCACGCCAUGGGUUAAGGAUUCAGCAGUGUUGUAGUUGUGGUGUAGGCCCGCAGCUAUGGCUCUGAUUUGACCCUUAGCCUGGAACUUCCAUAGGCUGAGGGGGCAGUCCUACAAAGCAAAGCAAAAAACAAGAAACAAAAAAAACCCCAAACCAGAAAAACCCCCAAAGUUCAAGACUCCGACGGGCCCCACCUGGCCUCUGGGCUGAUCCCCUGAAGCGGCUGCCCGCCUCCGUCCAGUCGGCUGCUCAAGGGGGAGGGACUGCAGAGGACAAAGAUGGGCCCCCUGGGUCAGGACCCAACAGGGGCUUGUGGGUUGAGCAGGUCCCCUCAGAGGAACCUGCUUCCCUCUUGCCUGCCCUGAGGACUGGGAGGAGGCCAGCUGGGUCACUUUUCUGCCCAGUCAUUCCUCGGCACCAACCUUCUUCAGGGGUAAAGUCCCUCCCUCUGGAACCUCAGAGCCUGGGGAAACUCCCAAAAAUUUUGGAAGAGGCUACUGAAGAGUGAGUGGCUCAUGCUCUGGGGGCUGAUUAAGGUUCCCGGGGACGCGCCUAUUUUUCUGGGUCCCUGAAAGUGGUUUACAGACCCGUCCCGAGGGAUUUCCUGUCUGGCCUCCCGAGUCGUGGCUCCGCCUUGCAAACAGGACGGAUCAACCUGCUGCCUUUGAGCAGCUGCCUCUCCCGCUGAUCCCAUCUGGUCCUGAGUCUUCCUCUGAGCCUUGACUCCUAGAAUGUCAGCGCUGGGAGAUCACCGCCUCGCACAGCUUUCUCCCUCUGGACGGUCGAGGAAACUGAGAGGCGGACGGGAGAAAUCCCCGAGGGGGAGAGGGGGAGGAUUUAGGUCACGUGGUCAAACAUGUUGUUAGCCAAGCUAUUUUCUUUUCUUUUUUUCUUUUUUCCUCCUUUUGUUUUUAUGGCUGUCCUGAGGCGUAUUGAAUUCACAGGCCAGGGACCCGACGUGAGCUGCCGUUGCGACCUAUGCUCCAGCUGUAGCAACACCGGAUCCUUAACCUACUGUGCCGAGCUGGGUGUCGAACCUGUAUCUCAGAGCUCCAGAGAGGCUGCCACAGUGGGAGCUCCUGGUAGCUGCAUUUAAAUGAACCAUGCUGUUGCUUGGGCUGAGGCUAAAUUCCUUAAGGUAAUAGGGUUAAAUAGAUAAAAGCGAACAAGAGCGAAUAGACCCCAGGUGGUACCAAUACCAAGGCAAGAGACAAUCUGGGGUUGGGUGACGUUUAGGGGACACGGCAUUGAUGGCCGAGCGAGUGGACGGACCAGGAAGGAAUGAAUAGGUAAUGGGCCACAGUGGACUCUUGGAGUUUCACUUCCUCAUGGAUUCAGAAUUCCCAGACACUGGCCUCCCAAGUCAGAGAAUCACCGUGGCCCUCAGGGCACCCGCCCAGCCUCCGUGGGGGUUACCCCUGUCUCUAGGUUAAAAAGAAACUCUUCAUCACGCUGGUCUCAUUUUCCAGGUCAGUAAAUUCUGGCCUCAAGGCAACGAAGUCUCCCUGAUAAGGUGAGGGUCUUGGGGUCCGGUUGCCCAGCCUCCUUGCGGAGGGGAGAGUCUUGAGGGGCCAGCCGGGGCCUUGGCAUCCGUGGGGAUCCUCAUGUGCAGGCCUCCUUCCUGAUAAAACCAUGGGCCCACAAGAACGGGGUAGUAGAGGGGGUAGACCCUGUACGGGGCUUAGACAGGCCCGUGUGGCCUUGGGCAAGUCCCUUCCCUCCUGGGCAGGGUCUCAGAUAAACAAGAGGGUUUUGCUCCAUCUCAUUAGCAGCUGCAUCCAGUAAACACCUGCAGAAGCCCUACUACCCUCCUGGCAUCUGCUUGGCACGUGGGCAGACGGAGGGAUUGGACUCCAUGCCUGGAAUAACCUGAUCCGCUGGGGUGGGGAGAAGCACGCCUAACAUGUAAUUACAGCCAGGUGACAGGGACAGCCCCCGCCAGAUCUGGGAUCCCCAGAGUGUGUCAGUGCAGGGAGAGGGCUGCGGUGAGAUCGCAGGGCUGCGCCCAGAGACGAGUGGCCCUUGAAGGUAAGCGCGGCCUGGGCUUCCUCCAUUCCCACAGCAAACCCGGUGACCGUGGGUUUUGGAAUCAAACAGGUCCAGGUUCAGAUCCCUGAGCAACUAGAGCAGGUGGCUUCACUUUGCGGGUCUCGGAUUUCUUCUUUAUCAAAACAAGAUAACUGGGAGUUCCUGCUCAGCAGGUUAUGAAUCCGACUGGUAUCCAUAGGAUGUGGGUUCGAUCCCUGGCCUCACUCAGGGGGUUAAGGAUCCAGAGUUGCUGUGAGCUGCAGUGUAGGUCACGAUGUGACUCAGAUAGCACUUUGCAGGGGCUGUAGCAUAGACCAGCAGCUGCAGCUCUGAUUCAACCCAUAGCCUGGGGGGUAUGCCUCAGGUUCAGCCCUUAAAAAAACAAACAGUCAAACGAAAAGACCAAAGAAAAAGGAUGAUGUGGGAGUUGCCUCAUAGUCAGGGGGUUAGAAAUUGGCGGUUUCACUGCCGAGGCCUGGGUUCAAUCCCUGGCCUGGGAACCGAGAUCCCAUAUCAAGCCACUGCAUCACUGCCACACGAUGGCAAAAAAAAAAAAAAAAAAAGAUAGGAUGAUGCCCCUUAGUUCCCGGACCCUGUGAGGAUCCAUAAGGAUAAUGUCAAGAGCCUGGCACAAGGCCUGGCACAUGGUGGGUUUCCACCAUCCAGGCAGGAGGUGGAAGAAGCCCUGGACAUCUGUCCCCCCUGAGGACACACACCUCCCCCUCUGGACGCUCUUGGCUGGUAUGGGACGGGUUCCCUUGCUGGGGGCCUCCCGCCCCAAGAGAUUCUGCCCAGCCCUUUCCUCUCCCUGUGAACACUGUGGUGGGCUUCCCUCCUCCCACUUUCCACCACGCCCCUCUGCCUUCCUGAUCCGACCUUGAACUUGGUAUGUGCCAAGGACAGGGAGGAAACUGGUAGGGCUGGAGCCACGGGUGGGACUUCUCUGGGGAAGGCCUGCCAGGGCCGCGGUUCCUUCCUCUCUUCCCAGCAGUGGGUCAGUGCUGGAGCUGCCCUCUCUUGCCCGGGACAAGACAAGGUGACAGCUUGCCCCUCUUCUGGGAGGUGGGACUGGCUGGCUCCCUAGAAGAAGGCAGGCAGGACAAGCCCUGCUUCAGAUGCACCGGGGAGGGAGGAGGGAACCAGCUGGGGCAGAGGAUGGGAAGGUCUGGAGCCCCAGGCUGGCAGUGGAAGGACAGGUUUGCCCGCAUUCUUGGCAGGGCCCAGGAUUCCAAAGCUCCUUCCGUGUUUGUCACUGUCGCCAAGGCCACAGGGUACCAGACCUUCCGCCUGCGGUUCUCAUUCUUUACCAGCCAGAAAUAGGGCCCGGCCCUGUUUUACAGAUGGAGAAACUGAGGCUCCGAGAGGAAGAAUCACGUGCCCAGACCUAGACAUGCUAAUGGAAAGGAAUGAAGCCUUUAUGGAGAGCCUGCUAUGUGCCAGGCCCACGCUGUGCAAGAAUCAUUCCUCCUUUCACAGCCCAGCAAAAUGCCUGGUUGGUGUUUCCCGACUUUGCAGAUCAUCGGACAAAACCCAGCCUCUUGCCUGGGGCCCCAGGACGAAGCACUGAGCUGGGACGUAAGCCUAGAUCUGUCUGGCUCCAGGUCCUGCUGUGCUGAUCCCCCCUCCACUGUCUGUAAGGGGAGGAAGCGGAGACUCUGAGAUGUCCGAGCUGGGCCCAAGGUCACACCACCAGAAGGGGCAAAGCUAGUUUUUGUUUGUCAUUUAUUUUUUUGCUUUUUAGGGCUGCACCCGUGGCUUAAGGAGGUCAAAUCAGAGCUGCAGCUGCCGGCCUGCAUCACAGCACAGCAACACCAAAUCCUCAACCCACAGAGCGAGGCCAGGGAUGGAAGCUGCAACCUGUGGUUCCUAGUCAGAUUCGUUUCUGCUGCGCCACGACGGGAACUCCACAAAACUAGUUUCUAACUCACAUCUGUCUUAACUCCAGAACUCCUGCCUUUCCCACUGAGCUACAUGGUCUCAGUAAAAACUCUUUUCAUGGAGUAACUGGCUGAUACCUGCAUGAAUACAAAUAUGUCUCAAAGG